CAAACUUUUGAUGACAACCGGCGCACGGGUGAGUAACACGUAUCCAACCUGCCUCAUACUCGGGGAUAGCCUUUCGAAAGAAAGAUUAAUACCCGAUGUUAUAGUCCUACCGCAUGAUGGGAUUAUUAAAGAAUUUCGGUAUGGGAUGGGGAUGCGUUCCAUUAGUUAGUUGGCGGGGUAACGGCCCACCAAGACAACGAUGGAUAGGGGUUCUGAGAGGAAGGUCCCCCACAUUGGAACUGAGACACGGUCCAAACUCCUACGGAAGGCAGCAG
This 275-nucleotide ribosomal RNA is filed under the name uncultured bacterium. RNAcentral describes it as "partial 16S ribosomal RNA". It matches the Rfam family "Bacterial small subunit ribosomal RNA", at positions 76 to 354 of the family's 1533-position model. The record is from RNAcentral.